CCUACGGGUGGCAGCAGUGGGGAAUAUUGCACCAUGGGGGAAACCCUGAUGCAGCGACGCCGCGUGAGCGAUGAAGUAUUUCGGUAUGUAACGCUCUAUCAGCAGGGAAGAAAAUGACGGUACCUGACUAAUAAGCCCCGGCUAACUACGUGCCAGCAGCCGCGGUAAUACGUAGGGGGCAAGCGUUAUCCGGAUUUACUGGGGGUAGAGGGAGCGUAGACGGCGAUGCAAGCCAGAUGUGAAAGCCCGGGGCUCAACCCCGGGACUGCAUUUGGAACUGUAUAGCUGGAGUGUCGGAGAGGAAGGCGGAAUUCCUAGUGUAGCGGUGAAAUGCGUAGAUAUUAGGAGGAACACCAGUGGCGAAGGCGGCCUGCUGGACGAUGACUGACGUUGAGGCUCGAAAGCGUGGGGAGCAAACAGGAUUAGAUACCCCAGUAGUC
RNAcentral lists this ribosomal RNA (440 nucleotides) under uncultured bacterium. RNAcentral's name for it is "partial 16S ribosomal RNA". It matches the Rfam family "Bacterial small subunit ribosomal RNA", at positions 338 to 795 of the family's 1533-position model. The record is from RNAcentral.